RNAcentral lists this ribosomal RNA (484 nucleotides) under uncultured bacterium. RNAcentral describes it as "partial 16S ribosomal RNA". It matches the Rfam family "Bacterial small subunit ribosomal RNA", at positions 30 to 507 of the family's 1533-position model. The record is from RNAcentral.
AUUGAACGCUGGCGGCAGGCCUAACACAUGCAAGUCGAGCGGAUGAAGGGAGCUUGCUCCUGGAUUCAGCGGCGGACGGGUGAGUAAUGCCUAGGAAUCUGCCUGGUAGUGGGGGAUAACGUCCGGAAACGGGCGCUAAUACCGCAUACGUCCUGAGGGAGAAAGUGGGGGAUCUUCGGACCUCACGCUAUCAGAUGAGCCUAGGUCGGAUUAGCUAGUUGGUGGGGUAAAGGCCUACCAAGGCGACGAUCCGUAACUGGCCUGAGAGGAUGAUCAGUCACACUGGAACUGAGACACGGUCCAGACUCCUACGGGAGGCAGCAGUGGGGAAUAUUGGACAAUGGGCGAAAGCCUGAUCCAGCCAUGCCGCGUGUGUGAAGAAGGUCUUCGGAUUGUAAAGCACUUUAAGUUGGGAGGAAGGGCAGUAAGUUGAUACCUUGCUGUUUUGACGUUACCAACAGAAUAAGCACCGGCUAACUUCGUG